CCCGGACAGGAAGAUCACAUAAGUGACUCAACCCACUCAAGUGACGGUUGUGUCUCAGCCUGAAGAAGUGCCACCAAUCCCCAGGAUGGGUCAUCAUUGCUUUUUUAAACUAUUUUAUUUACCUCCACUGUUUAGCAAUGUUACUGAAACCAAAGCCUGUCAAAAACACCAUGAAUGUGUGUUGAACAAAGAUGGUCACUACGAGUAUUUGCUUUGCUUUAUAAGGUACUGAAUGGAAGGAAGUCAAAGAUUGGUACAGAGGCACAUAUUACCUUGAAGUUAAUCCCCCAAAUACUGUGGAUGAGGGAAUGGAGGAAGGAGUAUGACUUUAGUGACUUGUAUUGUACAGUGUGCAUGGUUCCACCCAUGGAAGGUACUCUCCUUGGAUCCACAACAACAGAGUGGCACUCAAUUACUGUCUCAUUGUGUUUAUGGCUGCUCAGUACGUUGGCCAGGCUUUGGCAUCAGCCAUCCCAUUUGUUGUACAGUGUAGUUUGAAUGAAAGUUUAGAAAAAAAGGACAAGUAGGCAAUUUAGUGUGCCUUUGCAAUCCCUAUCCCCUUUGACGGUUUCUUUCUCUGUCCUUAUCGUGAAUGCACAAGUGGUUUGAGUUAUCUGUGUUGAUCCAGCUUUGGGAAUCUACAGCCAAACUAGAGGGGCAUAAGCCGAACAUGUGUGAUUAUAUGUAACCCAAUCACAAUGCAGAGUGUACAUCUCCUUAACGAGACAACGAUCUAUGCCAAUGGAGUAAUGUACAUUAUGUAGUCAUAGUGUUGUUUUAUAUUGUACAUACAGAUAGAUGUAUGCACAUGAUGUCAUUUAAUUUAAUAGACAAGGUGGUGGUGGUGUUGCUGGUGGUGUUAAGAUGUCCAAUGAGGAAAGAAAUGCCUUUUCAAAGAGAACAAGAUGGUUUGUAUUGGGCCAGGGAAGCUGAUGUGUUUUAGUUCGAUACAGGCCUUCAGGGCCUCACCCACACAUUCUCAUGUUAGCCGCUCAUUCAAAGGAGUAGGAUAGGGGGACCAGGCAGCAAUCUUGUUUUCGCUAGUGCUAGUGGUGUCUCGAGACAAUGCCUGUCCAUAAUUCAUACUCAUCUAGUCCUCUGGAAGCCGCUCGCAUGCUAUCUGCCUGGUAAUGCUGUCUUUUAAUAUAGCCAUGCACUGGUCUAUUUGUGUAUUGACAGCUUCCCAUCACACACACACACACCACACAGUACACAGUGAACCGAAAGCCGAAAUAGUCAGACUUGUUAUUUCUGUUCCUUUAGAAUAAAUUUGAUGGAGGGAAUGUCGGGGAGCAUUAUGACUGACUGAUGGUCCUGCCCAUCAAAGGGAGCACAAAAAUAACUAUUGCAUAGCCCAGGAGACAAUAUACACACACACACACACAAACAGUGCUAUGUGUCUUAUCAUUCUCAAAAACAGAUGCUCUUACACAGUUUUCAAGGGAACCUGAGAGAGUAGUGGGAGAGGAGGGGACGUAUAACAAGAUUAAAAUCGAGCCAGAGCUCUAGGCUCCUCCAUUUAAAUUCCCUGCACUGCCUACAGGAGCAGCCCGGUGGAGGAUAGAAUACUUUGUCUUAAAUUCCUCCGGCUUUUUGAUUUGCCUUCCAGCAACUGGAGGUCUCAGGUGGCAAAUUCCCCAGUUUACGAGCCCUCACGUUGCUUCUCCUCAUCUGUGCCAGCUUUGUGGACUGUCAAACCUACUUCUCCAAAUGAAUCCUGAUAGGCUUUUGUCUGAGCAGUCAGGAAUUUAAACUAGGCUCUCUCUCCACCCCAGAUUUGCAACACACUCCAAAAUGGUUCUUAAAGUGGCACCACUCUAAUGUUAUCAGCAUUCAAACGUAAGUGAUUCAUGAUUCUGAUUAUCCUGCAUUAUAUUAUAUGAAUAUGAAUCUCAUGUAGCCACCAUGUUUGUGUUCUUUAGCAGUUUUUGGGACAAGCAGUCCAGCAUGACAGAUUGAAGCUCAGACUGUGUUUGGCCAGCCUCUGGUACAGGAACAUGAUGCAUUGUGACAUUCUGAAAGUGGAGGGGUGGAAGUCCAUCUCAGAAAGGAGGAACGCUAAGGGAGCUGCAUGUCAAAGGUCAUCGAGCAGAUGAGGGGAAUGCUUUGCUUUGAUGUAAACUUAUACCUGUAUUUGGCUAAAAUCAUGUUAUUGUAAAUAUAUAUCACAGAACGUUUUAUGAAGCUUUAUUUUGUUUUCUGUUUUGGUUCUUCUGAAUCCAUGUACUUUUCACUUUUGUGUGCUGUGCUCAUCGUGGGUGAGGGUUGGGGGAUGGGGGGUUUGGCUUUGUCUGUAACGACCUUGUCUGGAUGUCAGACAGACAGCUCAGCACGGCAUGAUAAAAGGAAAUAUAAACCUCUCUUUACUUUUCACUCAUCUGUCAUCUUCUUCACAGUCGCUUCUCUUUGGUUUUUUAAAGCGGUACAGUUUGUUUGACAAAAACAAUCCAUGUAAAUAUCACAAGUAAAAAAUGUAUAUUUUUACGACUUCUGAGUUAUUACUAUUUCCUUUGCAAAUAAAAUAUACAAUGACAAG
Oncorhynchus tshawytscha (Chinook salmon) is the source of this 2536-nucleotide long non-coding RNA. NCBI's taxonomy places the organism in Eukaryota, Metazoa, Chordata, Actinopteri, Salmoniformes, Salmonidae. The record is from Ensembl.